RNAcentral lists this ribosomal RNA (208 nucleotides) under uncultured bacterium. RNAcentral's name for it is "partial 16S ribosomal RNA". It matches the Rfam family "Bacterial small subunit ribosomal RNA", at positions 568 to 775 of the family's 1533-position model. The record is from RNAcentral.
UGUGUAGGUGGUUUGGCAAGUCGGUUGUGAAAUCCCCGGGCUUAACCUGGGAAUUGCUUCCGAUACUGCCAGACUAGAGUACGGUAGAGGGCGGUGGAAUUUCCGGUGUAGCGGUGAAAUGCGUAGAUAUCGGAAGGAACACCAAUGGCGAAGGCAGCCGCCUGGGCCUGUACUGACACUGAGACACGAAAGCGUGGGGAUCAAACAG